This 498-nucleotide ribosomal RNA is filed under the name uncultured bacterium. Its description in RNAcentral is "partial 16S ribosomal RNA". It matches the Rfam family "Bacterial small subunit ribosomal RNA", at positions 28 to 507 of the family's 1533-position model. The record is from RNAcentral.
GACGAACGCUGGCGGCGUGCCUAAUACAUGCAAGUCGAGCGGACGAAUCGAAAGCUUGCUUUUGAUUCGUUAGCGGCGGACGGGUGAGUAACACGUGGGCAACCUGCCCUGUAGACGGGGAUAACACCGAGAAAUCGGUGCUAAUACCGGAUAACACGAAAUGUCGCAUGACGUUUCGUUGAAAGACGGCGCAAGCUGCCGCUACAGGAUGGGCCCGCGGCGCAUUAGCUAGUUGGUGAGGUAACGGCUCACCAAGGCGACGAUACGUAGCCGACCUGAGAGGGUGAUCGGCAACACUGGGACUGAGACACGGCCCAGACUCCUACGGGAGGCAGCAGUAGGGAAUCUUCCGCAAUGGACGAAAGUCUGACGGAGCAACGCCGCGUGAGCGAAGAAGGCCUUCGGGUCGUAAAGCUCUGUUGUUAGGGAAGAACAAGUAACGCAGUAACUGGCGUUACCGUGACGGUACCUAACGAGAAAGCCACGGCUAACUACGUG